GACGAACGCUGGCGGCGUGCUUAACACAUGCAAGUCGAACGGAAAGGCUCCAGCUUGCUGGAGUACUCGAGUGGCGAACGGGUGAGUAACACGUGGGUAAUCUGCCCUGCACUCUGGGAUAAGCCUGGGAAACUGGGUCUAAUACUGGAUAUGACCUUUCUCCUUAUGGGGUUUGGUGGAAAGUUUUUCGGUGUAGGACGAGCCCGCGGCCUAUCAGCUUGUUGGUGGGGUGAUGGCCUACCAAGGCGACGACGGGUAGCCGGCCUGAGAGGGUGAUCGGCCACAUUGGGACUGAGAUACGGCCCAGACUCCUACGGGAGGCAGCAGUGGGGAAUAUUGCACAAUGGGCGGAAGCCUGAUGCAGCGACGCCGCGUGAGGGAUGACGGCCUUCGGGUUGUAAACCUCUUUCAGCAGGGACGAAGCGUAAGUGACGGUACCUGCAGAAGAAGCACCGGCUAACUAUGUG
RNAcentral lists this ribosomal RNA (467 nucleotides) under uncultured bacterium. RNAcentral's name for it is "partial 16S ribosomal RNA". It matches the Rfam family "Bacterial small subunit ribosomal RNA", at positions 28 to 507 of the family's 1533-position model. The record is from RNAcentral.